UGGGGAAUAUUGGACAAUGGGCGAAAGCCUGAUCCAGCCAUGCCGCGUGUGUGAAGAAGGUCUUCGGAUUGUAAAGCACUUUAAGUUGGGAGGAAGGGCAGUAAGCGAAUACCUUGCUGUUUUGACGUUACCGACAGAAUCAGCACCGGCUAACUCUGUGCCAGCAGCCGCGGUAAUACAGAGGGUGCAAGCGUUAAUCGGAAUUACUGGGCGUAAAGCGCGCGUAGGUGGUUCGUUAAGUUGAAUGUGAAAGCCCCGGGCUCAACCUGGGAACUGCAUCCAAAACUGGCGAGCUAGAGUAGGGCAGAGGGUGGUGGAAUUUCCUGUGUAGCGGUGAAAUGCGUAGAUAUAGGAAGGAACACCAGUGGCGAAGGCGACCACCUGGGCUCAUACUGACACUGAGGUGCGAAAGCGUGGGGAGCAAACAGG
Molecule: ribosomal RNA, 429 nt
Filed under: Pseudomonadota bacterium
Lineage: Bacteria; Pseudomonadati; Pseudomonadota
Description: Proteobacteria bacterium partial 16S ribosomal RNA
Rfam family: Bacterial small subunit ribosomal RNA
Source: RNAcentral